Molecule: ribosomal RNA, 253 nt
Filed under: uncultured bacterium
Lineage: Bacteria
Description: partial 16S ribosomal RNA
Rfam family: Bacterial small subunit ribosomal RNA
Source: RNAcentral
UACAUGUGGGGCAAGCGUUGUUCGGAAUUACUGGGCAUAAAGGGUGCGUAGGUGGCUUGUUAAGUCAGGGGUGAAAGUUUUCGGCCCAACCGGAAAAUGGCCUUUGAUACUGGCGAGCUCGAGUGCGUGAGGGGUAACCGGAACGAGCAGUGUAGCGGUGAAAUGCGUAGAUAUUGCUCGGAAGGCCAACGGCGAAGGCAGGUUACUGGUGCGCAACUGACACUGAGGCACGAAAGCGUGGGGAGCAAACAGA